ACGGAUUGAGUAAAAAAUAUGAAUUAAAUUGUACUGACAUAGGGAAACAAUAAAAGAUCAUGAGAGUUAGAUUUACAUUGAAAUCAAUUUUCAAUAUUCAAAUACAAUUUAAACAAGUUAAGCUACUAUUAAACAUAUUAAAUCAUAAAAGGCAUGUAACUAAUCAAGAAAAAUAUGGAUAGGAUUUUUAAGAGAUUCUACAUAGAAGACUUAGUCUAACAAAACUGGUUUCAUUAUUUUAUGACAGUUCUUCUAAUUAAUAUGCAAAUAGGAAGAUUCAUCUAGCAAACAUGAACUAAUUCUAAAACAGUAUGAACAGUACAGUUUUCACGAGUUCAAGUUCCAGAUUUAGUUCAUGCAUGACACCAGUAAACUAACGAAACUAGUUUAACCAUUUUUGGAGCAGUAUAUGCUUUAAUAAGCAUUUAACAAGGUUAGCACAUAAUAAAUCCUACAGCCAGAUCUACAACAUUUACAUGCUCAAAGUCAUUUUUGUAUGAAUCUAGACUUCACCAGGAAACUAACCGGAAUUAAGUUUAUAUUAGUAUAAUGUUUUUGAGAGUUUAUGUGGAUUUCAAAAAUUCACAGAUGAUUUCAAAGAUAAAUAGCAAACUAACUUUGCAAUGAGACCCUUGGAAACAUCUUUCUUUAACAGAUAUACCCUUUCUAAUUUCACAGAACAGCCCUUAGAUCUUCCGCUUACCCCCCUAGAAGAAUUCCCACUUUGCACUUAAACCCAAACUGUUCCAGAUAACCCCUGUCCUUUCUUUUCUUUCACACAUCUGCCCUCCCCCCUUCAUCUUCCUCCAGCCGCGCUCAUGUGCACAUGGCGAGCGGCAGCAACGCGGCACCAUCGGCUCGGAGGCUUCACCUCCUACUCCGUUGACUACCCCGCAGGCUCCCCUACGUCUAGGCACAUCUCCUCCCCUACUUCUUACUCCAAAACCCUAAC
Molecule: long non-coding RNA, 952 nt
Filed under: Setaria viridis
Lineage: Eukaryota; Viridiplantae; Streptophyta; Magnoliopsida; Poales; Poaceae
Description: long non-coding RNA (SVIR_LNC004681)
Source: RNAcentral